ACGCUCGACACCUACGGGGGGCAGCAGUGGGGAAUAUUGCACAAUGGGGGAAACCCUGAUGCAGCGACGCCGCGUGAGUGAAGAAGUAUUUCGGUAUGUAAAGCUCUAUCAGCAGGGAAGAAAAUGACGGUACCUGAGUAAGAAGCCCCGGCUAACUACGUGCCAACAGCCGCGGUAAUCUGAGCGGGCUGGCAAGGC
RNAcentral lists this ribosomal RNA (198 nucleotides) under uncultured bacterium. RNAcentral's name for it is "partial 16S ribosomal RNA". It matches the Rfam family "Bacterial small subunit ribosomal RNA", at positions 328 to 539 of the family's 1533-position model. The record is from RNAcentral.